UGCAGGUACCCGUGCGAAUAAGGACCGGCUAAUUCCGUGCCAGCAGCCGCGGUAAUACGGAAGGUUCGAGCGUUAUCCGGAUUUACUGGGUGUAAAGGGAGCGUAGACGGUAAUGCAAGUCAGAAGUGAAAGCCCAGGGCUCAACCGUGGGACUGCUUUUGAAACUGCAGUACUGGAGUGCAGGAGAGGUAAGUGGAAUUCCUAGUGUAGCGGUGAAAUGCGUAGAUAUUAGGAGGAACACCAGUGGCGAAGGCGGCUUACUGGACUGUAACUGACGUUGAGGCUCGAAAGCGUGGGGAGCAAACAGGAUUAGAUACCCUG
This 321-nucleotide ribosomal RNA is filed under the name uncultured bacterium. RNAcentral's name for it is "bacterial SSU rRNA". It matches the Rfam family "Bacterial small subunit ribosomal RNA", at positions 470 to 789 of the family's 1533-position model. The record is from RNAcentral.